This 467-nucleotide ribosomal RNA is filed under the name uncultured bacterium. RNAcentral describes it as "partial 16S ribosomal RNA". It matches the Rfam family "Bacterial small subunit ribosomal RNA", at positions 29 to 507 of the family's 1533-position model. The record is from RNAcentral.
ACGCACGCUGGCGGCGUGCUUAACACAUGCAAGUCGAACGGAAAGGCCCUGCUUUUGUGGGGUGCUCGAGUGGCGAACGGGUGAGUAACACGUGAGUAACCUGCCCUUGACUUUGGGAUAACUUCAGGAAACUGGGGCUAAUGCCGGAUAGGAGCUCCUGCUGCAUGGUGGGGGUUGGAAAGUUUCGGCGGUUGGGGAUGGACUCGCGGCUUAUCAGCUUGUUGGUGGGGUAGUGGCUUACCAAGGCUUUGACGGGUAGCCGGCCUGAGAGGGUGACCGGCCACAUUGGGACUGAGAUACGGCCCAGACUCCUACGGGAGGCAGCAGUGGGGAAUAUUGCACAAUGGGCGGAAGCCUGAUGCAGCAACGCCGCGUGCGGGAUGACGGCCUUCGGGUUGUAAACCGCUUUCGCCUGUGACGAAGCGUGAGUGACGGUAAUGGGUAAAGAAGCACCGGCUAACUACGUG